GGGUUGUGAGGUUAAGCGACUAAGCGUACACGGUGGAUGCCCUGGCAGUCAGAGGCGAUGAAGGACGUGCUAAUCUGCGAAAAGCGUCGGUAAGGUGAUAUGAACCGUUACAGCCGGCGAUGUCCGAAUGGGGAAACCCAGUGUGAUUCGUCACACUAUCGUUAACUGAAUACAUAGGUUAACGAGGCGAACCGGGGGAACUGAAACAUCUAAGUACCCCGAGGAAAAGAAAUCAACCGAGAUUCCCCCAGUAGCGGCGAGCGAACGGGGAGCAGCCCAGAGUCUGAAUCAGCUUGUGUGUUAGUGGAACGGUCUGGAAAGUCCGACGGUACAGGGUGAUAGUCCCGUACACCAAAAUGCACAGGCUGUGAACUCGAAGAGUAGGGCGGGACACGUGGUAUCCUGUCUGAAUAUGGGGGGACCAUCCUCCAAGGCUAAAUACUCCUGACUGACCGAUAGUGAACCAGUACCGUGAGGGAAAGGCGAAAAGAACCCCGGCGAGGGGAGUGAAAAAGAACCUGAAACCGUGUACGUACAAGCAGUGGGAGCACCUUCGGGUGUGACUGCGUACCUUUUGUAUAAUGGGUCAGCGACUUAUAUUCUGUAGCAAGGUUAACCGUAUAGGGGAGCCGCAGGGAAACCGAGUCUUAACUGGGCGUUAAGUUGCAGGGUAUAGACCCGAAACCCGGUGAUCUAGCCAUGGGCAGGUUGAAGGUUGGGUAACACUAACUGGAGGACCGAACCGACUAAUGUUGAAAAAUUAGCGGAUGACUUGUGGCUGGGGGUGAAAGGCCAAUCAAACCGGGAGAUAGCUGGUUCUCCCCGAAAGCUAUUUAGGUAGCGCCUCGUGAACUCAUCUUCGGGGGUAGAGCACUGUUUCGGCUAGGGGGUCAUCCCGACUUACCAACCCGAUGCAAACUACGAAUACCGAAGAAUGUUAUCACGGGAGACACACGGCGGGUGCUAACGUCCGUCGUGAAGAGGGAAACAACCCAGACCGCCAGCUAAGGUCCCAAAGUCAUGGUUAAGUGGGAAACGAUGUGGGAAGGCCCAGACAGCCAGGAUGUUGGCUUAGAAGCAGCCAUCAUUUAAAGAAAGCGUAAUAGCUCACUGGUCGAGUCGGCCUGCGCGGAAGAUGUAACGGGGCUAAACCAUGCACCGAAGCUGCGGCAGCGACACUAUGUGUUGUUGGGUAGGGGAGCGUUCUGUAAGCCUGUGAAGGUGGCCUGUGAGGGCUGCUGGAGGUAUCAGAAGUGCGAAUGCUGACAUAAGUAACGAUAAAGCGGGUGAAAAGCCCGCUCGCCGGAAGACCAAGGGUUCCUGUCCAACGUUAAUCGGGGCAGGGUGAGUCGACCCCUAAGGCGAGGCCGAAAGGCGUAGUCGAUGGGAAACAGGUUAAUAUUCCUGUACUUGGUGUUACUGCGAAGGGGGGACGGAGAAGGCUAUGUCAUCCGGGCGACGGUUGUCCCGGUUUAAGCAUGUAGGCUGGUUAUCCAGGCAAAUCCGGAUAAUCAAGGCUGAGGUGUGAUGACGAGGUACCACGGUACUGAAGUGACAGAUGCCCUGCUUCCAGGAAAAGCCUCUAAGCAUCAGGUAACAUCAAAUCGUACCCCAAACCGACACAGGUGGUCAGGUAGAGAAUACCAAGGCGCUUGAGAGAACUCGGGUGAAGGAACUAGGCAAAAUGGUGCCGUAACUUCGGGAGAAGGCACGCUGGUGUGUAGGUGAAGUCCCUGCGGACGGAGCUGAGACCAGUCGAAGAUACCAGCUGGCUGCAACUGUUUAUUAAAAACACAGCACUGUGCAAACACGAAAGUGGACGUAUACGGUGUGACGCCUGCCCGGUGCCGGAAGGUUAAUUGAUGGGGUUAUCCGUAAGGAGAAGCUCUUGAUCGAAGCCCCGGUAAACGGCGGCCGUAACUAUAACGGUCCUAAGGUAGCGAAAUUCCUUGUCGGGUAAGUUCCGACCUGCACGAAUGGCGUAAUGAUGGCCAGGCUGUCUCCACCCGAGACUCAGUGAAAUUGAACUCGCUGUGAAGAUGCAGUGUACCCGCGGCAAGACGGAAAGACCCCGUGAACCUUUACUAUAGCUUGACACUGAACAUUGAGCCUUGAUGUGUAGGAUAGGUGGGAGGCUUUGAAGCGUGGACGCCAGUCUGCGUGGAGCCAACCUUGAAAUACCACCCUUUAAUGUUUGAUGUUCUAACGUUGGCCCCUUAUCGGGGUUGCGGACAGUGUCUGGUGGGUAGUUUGACUGGGGCGGUCUCCUCCCAAAGCGUAACGGAGGAGCACGAAGGUUAGCUAAUCCUGGUCGGACAUCAGGAGGUUAGUGCAAUGGCAUAAGCUAGCUUGACUGCGAGCGUGACGGCGCGAGCAGGUGCGAAAGCAGGUCAUAGUGAUCCGGUGGUUCUGAAUGGAAGGGCCAUCGCUCAACGGAUAAAAGGUACUCCGGGGAUAACAGGCUGAUACCGCCCAAGAGUUCAUAUCGACGGCGGUGUUUGGCACCUCGAUGUCGGCUCAUCACAUCCUGGGGCUGAAGUAGGUCCCAAGGGUAUGGCUGUUCGCCAUUUAAAGUGGUACGCGAGCUGGGUUUAGAACGUCGUGAGACAGUUCGGUCCCUAUCUGCCGUGGGCGCUGGAGAAUUGAGGGGGGCUGCUCCUAGUACGAGAGGACCGGAGUGGACGCAUCACUGGUGUUCGGGUUGUCAUGCCAAUGGCACUGCCCGGUAGCUAAAUGCGGAAGAGAUAAGUGCUGAAAGCAUCUAAGCACGAAACUUGCCCCGAGAUGAGUUCUCCCUGAGACUAUAAGUCUCCUGAAGGAACGUUGAAGACGACGACGUUGAUAGGCCGGGUGUGUAAGCGCAGCGAUGCGUUGAGCUAACCGGUACUAAUGAACCGUGAGGCUUAACCUUACAACGCCGAAG
This 2923-nucleotide ribosomal RNA is filed under the name Klebsiella quasivariicola. RNAcentral describes it as "bacterial LSU rRNA". It matches the Rfam family "Bacterial large subunit ribosomal RNA". The record is from RNAcentral. Lineage: Bacteria; Pseudomonadati; Pseudomonadota; Gammaproteobacteria; Enterobacterales; Enterobacteriaceae.